CCUUUUGUCCCUGGGUCAUCUCGCUCAGCACAACAGUUCUUUAUUUGGUCCGAGAUUCCUGAGAAAAGUGGACGGCUUGACGGAAGGCUCACUCUACGAGUUCAAAAUCGCCGCCGUCAACCUGGCCGGCAUCGGGGAGCCCUCGGAUCCCAGUGAGCACUUCAAAUGUGAGGCCUGGACCAUGCCGGAGCCCGGUCCUGCCUACGACUUGACGUUCUGUGAGGUCAGGGACACAUCCUUGGUCAUGCUGUGGAAGGCCCCCGUGUACUCCGGCAGCAGCCCUGUUUCUGGAUAUUUCGUGGACUUCAGGGAGGAGGAUGCUGGAGAGUGGAUCACUGUCAAUCAGACGACAACGGCCAACCGUUAUUUAAAGGUCUCUGACCUGCAGCAAGGCAAGACCUAUGUCUUCAGGGUCCGGGCAGUCAAUGCAAAUGGCGUGGGGAAGCCCUCGGACACGUCGGAGCCCGUGCUGGUAGAGGCAAGACCAGGCACCAAGGAAAUCAGUGCCGGUGUCGAUGAACAAGGCAACAUCUACCUGGGCUUCG
Molecule: small RNA, 545 nt
Filed under: Pongo abelii (Sumatran orangutan)
Lineage: Eukaryota; Metazoa; Chordata; Mammalia; Primates; Hominidae
Description: processed transcript
Source: RNAcentral